Transfer RNA from Camelus ferus (Wild Bactrian camel), 72 nucleotides. It matches the Rfam family "tRNA". Rfam says of the family: Transfer RNA (tRNA) molecules are approximately 80 nucleotides in length. Their secondary structure includes four short double-helical elements and three loops (D, anti-codon, and T loops). NCBI's taxonomy places the organism in Eukaryota, Metazoa, Chordata, Mammalia, Artiodactyla, Camelidae. The record is from Rfam.
GAGGGUAUAGCUCAGUCGUAGAAUGCAUGGUUAGCAUGCACGGGGUCCUGGGUUCAAUCCCCAGUACCUCCA